RNAcentral lists this ribosomal RNA (489 nucleotides) under uncultured bacterium. RNAcentral's name for it is "partial 16S ribosomal RNA". It matches the Rfam family "Bacterial small subunit ribosomal RNA", at positions 28 to 507 of the family's 1533-position model. The record is from RNAcentral.
GACGAACGCUGGCGGCGUGCUUAACACAUGCAAGUCGAACGGAAAGGCCCCCACCUUGGUGGGGGUGCUCGAGUGGCGAACGGGUGAGUAACACGUGGGUGAUCUGCCCUGUACUUCGGGAUAAGCUUGGGAAACUGGGUCUAAUACCGGAUAGGACCAUGGUUUAGUGUCUCAUGGUGGAAAAAUUAUUGUUUUGGUGCAGGAUGAGCUCGCGGCCUAUCAGCUUGUUGGUGGGGUAAUGGCCUACCAAGGCGUCGACGGGUAGCCGGCCUGAGAGGGUGGACGGCCACAGUGGGACUGAGAUACGGCCCAGACUCCUACGGGAGGCAGCAGUGGGGAAUAUUGCACAAUGGGCGCAAGCCUGAUGCAGCGACGCCGCGUGGGGGAUGACGGCCUUCGGGUUGUAAACUCCUUUCGUUAGGGACGAAGCCACACCUUUUUGGGGUGUGGUGACGGUACCUUUGUUAAGAAGCACCGGCUAACUACGUG